RNAcentral lists this long non-coding RNA (1060 nucleotides) under Penaeus japonicus. RNAcentral describes it as "uncharacterized LOC122263530". The record is from RNAcentral. Lineage: Eukaryota; Metazoa; Arthropoda; Malacostraca; Decapoda; Penaeidae.
CAUAAUUCCCCAAUCAAAACAUGUCUGCCACAUGGGCCAAAGCGAGACCUUGCACAAGGGAGUUACAUCAAGAGUGGCACCAUGAGGGCUGCUUGGGUGAUACUGUGGCCCUAGCCUAGGAUGACCCAUGAUCUUUGGCUAUGGUGUGAGGAUUGUCAGAAAGGACAUGAAGGAGAUUGCGAGGAACAUGGUCCAUUGACGAAAGUGGCAGACACAGAGGUAUCUACAAGAGCGCGACGGUCUAUACCACAUAUCUUGAAGCUGAAGGAAGACAUCGCCCACACGGGUAAGUCAAACUUCGGGUUUCCAGUUACCACAGGUGUGCCUUGAUAGUUCCCAGGGUGUGGUUUUCUAUUUGCAAUUGUGAUGGAGGAGAGGUUGUGGGGGGGGGUUAAUCUCUCAGUCAUGGUUGUUUUCAGUUGUAGGUUGCGUUAGAUUGAUUUACUCUUGUUUUUUGUUGUUAUUUUUAUUAUUUUCAUUGUUUAUUUUAUUUUAUUUUUUUCAUUGAUAUUAAUUUCUUUGAAGUAUUGUAUUCCUAGCAUCAUUGUCAUCAUUAUCAGUAUCGUAUCUUUAUCUUUAUAUCAUUGUUAUUUUUGUGAAUGCAGCUUCUUUAGUCAUCAUCAAUAGUAUUACUGUUCAUAGCAAUAGCUAUAGCAGUAAUUCCAGAAGAUGUGUUCUCUUCAGUCGUAGUAUUAGUUUUGAAAUAUAUAUUUUGGAUAUCAUUGUGAUUGUUAUAUUAUCAUCAUAAUAAUAAUCAUCAUUAAAAUCAUCAUCAUCUUAAUUAUAAUAGUUAAAAUCAUCAUCAUCAUUAUCUUCAUCAUUUUCAUUAUAAUUAUCACUACAAUCAUUAUCAUGAUUAUUUGCAGCCAAAAGUGGAAAGCUGCUAAUGAUACUGUUUUUUUCUGUUUCAUUAUAUAAAUUGCUUUAUUAAUUUUAUCAAAGGUAUAAAUGGGUAUGCCCUUCCUGCCAUCCAUAUUUAACAGAAUAUCAUAUCCAUUCAGUUGAAAUUAAAUGUCUCGGUGGACAUUUUGUUAACCGUUCUCAUUUUUUUUUUUUUUUU